Molecule: ribosomal RNA, 388 nt
Filed under: uncultured bacterium SA3
Lineage: Bacteria
Description: bacterial SSU rRNA
Rfam family: Bacterial small subunit ribosomal RNA
Source: RNAcentral
AUUGAACGCUGGCGGCAUGCCUAACACAUGCAAGUCGAACGGAAGGCGGUAGCUUGCUACGGCCUUUAGUGGCGGACGGGUGAGUAACACGUAGGAAUCUGCCCUGGAGUGGGGGACAACCUGGGGAAACUCAGGCUAAUACCGCAUAAGCUCGCGAGAGGAAAGCGGGGGAUCGCAAGACCUCGCGCUGCAGGAUGAGCCUACGUCCGAUUAGCUGGUUGGCGGGGUAACGGCCCACCAAGGCGACGAUCGGUAGCUGGUCUGAGAGGACGACCAGCCACACUGGGACUGAGACACGGCCCAGACUCCUACGGGAGGCAGCAGUGGGGAAUAUUGGACAAUGGGCGCAAGCCUGAUCCAGCAAUGCCGCGUGGGUGAAGACGGCCUG